RNAcentral lists this ribosomal RNA (468 nucleotides) under Acinetobacter sp. oral taxon D46. Its description in RNAcentral is "bacterial SSU rRNA". It matches the Rfam family "Bacterial small subunit ribosomal RNA", at positions 30 to 493 of the family's 1533-position model. The record is from RNAcentral. Lineage: Bacteria; Pseudomonadati; Pseudomonadota; Gammaproteobacteria; Moraxellales; Moraxellaceae.
AUUGAACGCUGGCGGCAGGCUUAACACAUGCAAGUCGAGCGGAGCGAGGGUGCUUGCACCUUAGCUUAGCGGCGGACGGGUGAGUAAUGCUUAGGAAUCUGCCUAUUAGUGGGGGACAACAUUCCGAAAGGAAUGCUAAUACCGCAUACGCCCUACGGGGGAAAGCAGGGGAUCUUCGGACCUUGCGCUAAUAGAUGAGCCUAAGUCGGAUUAGCUAGUUGGUGGGGUAAAGGCCUACCAAGGCGACGAUCUGUAGCGGGUCUGAGAGGAUGAUCCGCCACACUGGGACUGAGACACGGCCCAGACUCCUACGGGAGGCAGCAGUGGGGAAUAUUGGACAAUGGGCGGAAGCCUGAUCCGGCCAUGCCGCGUGUGUAAAGAAGGCCUUUUGGUUGUAAAGCACUUUAAGCGAGGAGGAGGCUACUUAGAUUAAUACUCUAGGAUAGUGGACGUACUCGCAGAUAGCCC